GGCCUCUCCCGGUGCUUAACACAGGCUAUAUUCUUACAUUGUGUGUACAGAAAGAGGAAGCAGAGUACACCCAACCAUAUACACCUCAGCUCAGGCCUUAUGACAGGCCUGUGUUGUAAAUGUGGGACAUGG
Small nucleolar RNA from Pipistrellus kuhlii (Kuhl's pipistrelle), 132 nucleotides. RefSeq annotates it as small nucleolar RNA SNORA51. Lineage: Eukaryota; Metazoa; Chordata; Mammalia; Chiroptera; Vespertilionidae. The record is from RefSeq and is a predicted model, not a curated record. The transcript has a single exon.